GACGAACGCUGGCGGCGUGCCUAAUACAUGCAAGUCGAGCGGACCGAAGGGAGCUUGCUCCUUUAGGUUAGCGGCGGACGGGUGAGUAACACGUGGGCAACCUGCCCUGCAGACUGGGAUAACUACCGGAAACGGUAGCUAAUACCGGAUAAUUUCUUUCCUCUCCUGAAGAGAGAAUGAAAGGCGGAGCAAUCUGCUACUUGGGGAUGGGCCUGCGGCGCAUUAGCUAGUUGGUGGGGUAACGGCCCACCAAGGCGACGAUGCGUAGCCGACCUGAGAGGGUGAACGGCCACACUGGGACUGAGACACGGCCCAG
This 316-nucleotide ribosomal RNA is filed under the name uncultured bacterium. Its description in RNAcentral is "bacterial SSU rRNA". It matches the Rfam family "Bacterial small subunit ribosomal RNA", at positions 28 to 334 of the family's 1533-position model. The record is from RNAcentral.